RNAcentral lists this long non-coding RNA (587 nucleotides) under Anas platyrhynchos platyrhynchos (common mallard). RNAcentral's name for it is "lncRNA (ENSAPLG00000017959.1)". Lineage: Eukaryota; Metazoa; Chordata; Aves; Anseriformes; Anatidae. The record is from RNAcentral.
UAAGAUUAUUAUAUUGUAUUCUGGCACAGACCAACCACCAUAGGGGGCAUUUGAAGGGGAUACAGCAUAAUGAAUGAGCUGUGUGACUUCUUCACAGACACAAACAUUCCACCUUUACCAGGAAGAUAUCAAAGGACAAGUGCCAACAAGGGAUUUCUUGAGAUUACUCUCCAAAAUUCUCUUAUUGGAGAGGAAAAGGGGUACAGAUCUCUCUGCCUGAUUUUUAAAGCAUAAUAUUGAUACAUGAUGGAUUUGGCAUAUACCCUUGGAAUAUGCAGAUCACUGAGCAAGACUGAGAUUUCAUGUCAGCAACAUCUUCUCCCAGAAAGUGGAACACUGUUAGGUGAGAAAAGCAAGCUGGUAUUGGAUGCACACAGAGAUGUCUCAUCUUCCAGGACUGGAGUUCAAGCACUUGUCUAGGAAGCAAAACCUGGAAUCAGUUCUUCCCACAGCCUGUGGGGCACAAGACUCCUGCUAAGAGGAGGCUCCCUAACUGCCAAGCUACACUAUCUGGAUUAAAGGUUCUCCAUCCUUCUUAUUGGAGCUGUAUCACUGCAGAGAAAAUAAAGAAACAAAAUCAUGACUCA